GACGGAAUUCUGGUCUAGAACCUCUACAAGGCUUUCGUUUUGACCAAGCUGAGAUGUGAUCAGGCCGUAUAAAGUCCACGCUACCGGUGAUCCCCAGUAAUACCACCUCCACCAGAUCGGUAUUUGCUGUAAUGUUCAGAUUAGUGAUUUAGGUUGUCAUACCGUUCUAGGGAUCAGGAAACCGGAGAACAAGUUCCAGAAAUUGAGGAAGAAGGUCAUAGAAAUGGCUGCAAUCUGAUAAUUGGGUGUGAGGGCCACAAGCAUCAUUCCGUAUAAUGUGAAAUAGACAAAGGACAUGAACAUGUAGAAGUAGAACCAUAAGAACCUGUCUGCGGACCACUGGAAUCCAAUCAUGGAGUAAAUCAGAAGACUGUAUAUGAUCGUUUGGAUGCCUACAUAAACCACCUCAAUGGCCACCUGCAGAUAAAAAUAAUCAUCUCCUUUGAGUUUUCUAGAAAUGCCAUUAGAAACAGAAAAGCUAACAGCUUUCUCAUACCUGAGCAAAUGCAUAAGGGAUUGGUGAAUACAUCCCUGCUGCUUUCUCACGAUAGAAAACUGUUCGUUCUAUAGACACCACAGACUGCACAGUUGAAGUGUUGGUUCCACCAAGAAACAAUACAGCAGCAUACAUAGCUCCCAUCAGAUUCAUUACAUCUUGUUGUUUUUCACUGUCAAAGCGACACAAAUUCAUUUAGAAUUACAUUCUGAAUGUGAAAACGAUAUGAUGCUUUUGAUUUCUUACGUCUUUUGGCCUUUGUCCCAGAAAAUCACUCCAAAUAGAAUGCCAAUUAUUGUUGUCAUGAAGAACCGAACAACAUUAUACUGUGGAUGCCUCCAGUAUGACCAGUGUUGUUUCCAAAAACAAGCCAUGCAUUGUGUCCAAAAGGAUUGAGAGUACUUUGUAGGGAAGUAAAGGUCCUUGGACCCUGGUACUGGUGUACUUACUACCUCAAUGAGCUCCUGGCUCUGCCUGUUAGAAAGAACCCAUUAGCAAGAAGCUUAGUAGAAUCUAAAAGACAGGUUCAAAGAUUCAUACUUGUAAAGAUCAGAAUUGGCAUAAAUCUCUGCAAAAUCAACACCAAGUUGAGUUUCGACUGCUGAAGAAGUAACUUCAAGCAUCCAUGUGGCGGGAUUUUGACCUUGUUUGAUUUUGUUAACUCCUGGAAUAGACUGAAAAGUUUGAUCGAGUUUUUAGAUUUUUUUUUGUUGUA
Lactuca sativa (garden lettuce) is the source of this 1211-nucleotide long non-coding RNA. RefSeq lists it as uncharacterized. NCBI's taxonomy places the organism in Eukaryota, Viridiplantae, Streptophyta, Magnoliopsida, Asterales, Asteraceae. The record is from RefSeq and is a predicted model, not a curated record.